RNAcentral lists this non-coding RNA (108 nucleotides) under Pachysolen tannophilus NRRL Y-2460. Lineage: Eukaryota; Fungi; Ascomycota; Pichiomycetes; Alaninales; Pachysolenaceae. The record is from RNAcentral.
AACCUGAAUGAUAACUGGAUGGUCUGAUCGGAUAGCAGUCCCAUGCUGUCUUUUAAGUUUCAGGAAGAAUAAAAAUAGUGGCAAAGAUUCUUUAUGGACUUGAAAGAU